GUGACAGAAGAGAGUGAGCACUUAGCUCUUUCCUAGCAUGGACCUUUCAUGCUAAAAGCUGUGUGCUUACUCUCUAUCUGUCAC
Molecule: non-coding RNA, 84 nt
Organism: Cajanus cajan (pigeon pea)
Lineage: Eukaryota; Viridiplantae; Streptophyta; Magnoliopsida; Fabales; Fabaceae
Source: Rfam